This 1849-nucleotide long non-coding RNA is filed under the name Spirodela polyrhiza (greater duckweed). RNAcentral describes it as "long non-coding RNA (SPOL_LNC002098)". Lineage: Eukaryota; Viridiplantae; Streptophyta; Magnoliopsida; Alismatales; Araceae. The record is from RNAcentral.
UUAUUAUCCUCACCGGGGAUCACGUGAAACCUACGGGGAGACAUCAAUCCCCCCAUCCCAGCCCUUCGCGCUUGAGUGGCGUGGAAACCACAGCCUAGGGCGCCCUCGAGGCGCCGAUCCAGAGGCCCCUCCGCCCCCACGGCGGCGGCGGCGCCCCCCUGGGGCUGUCGCUGUUGCACCGGCGAACCACUUUCCACCGCCGUGACGGACGCAAGGAAGGAGUCGUCCCGGCGAGGUAGCCGGCGGGAGAGAUGGGACUGCCUUCUGCCCCAAUCUCGUCGGAGCGUUGACGUCGUAUAUUGCUCUGAUGGUCAGUGUUGACGUCAAGCAUGUUGGGGCCGCGCUUCUCUGUAGGGUUCUCGGAGGAGCUGUAGGGGAUGCCGGAGGUUCGGCAGACAGCUCCGCUGCGGUCUGCGGGAGGGGCACGGCUCCGUCGUCUCGUGGUUACGUUGCGCUACUGGGUAGCUGUCCGAGGGUGGGGUCCAGAGAUUUGUAUUAACGGGCAGUUGGGUCAACAGCGUUGACCACACGCAAAGUUAGCUGCGAAACGGCUGAAUGUUGUGCCGGAGCGCUCAGCCGAGUGGGCUCUCACCCCGACGACGCCGCGAUCAGCGACUGCGUGAGACUCGCGUCGUUCGGUUACGUAGGAGAUGUGGCGGUGGCGGCGGCGGCAGAAUUUCCUAUGCAUGGCGUUGCCAUCCGUUACGUCCGACUUCUCAUCCGCCGCUGCUCUCCUCCGCCUCCUCUGCCUUCCACUGUAAGAAAUAUGCAUCGCAGCUUCGUCAGAGUUUAAACCUCGGCCUGCGCGGAGGAGGAGAACCGGGGGACCGGUAAUAGAGACUGUGAGAAAAAAGGGUUUCUUGGGGGACCCGGAAGGAGUAGAGGACAGAGGGGACAUGAAGAUAGAGGAGAGCGCAACAAGACGCGGCCUUUCGGUUGAGAGCGGAACCAGACAGCGAACCCCCGUCCAAACAUGGACGACGCGAGGGAGAGGAGAGAGUAGACCCGGAUUCACUGUAUACGAAGGAGAGAGGCCCUUUCUUCUGAAAGUAGGGUUUUUUGUUUAUGGGUUGUGGGGGGAGCGGAAGGGGGGGGGCCUAGGGAUUCUCCUCCUGCCAAAUUCCUUUAUUCCAUCAUUCCCUCAAAUUCCGCAUUGCGGUAUUUAAUGUUCGUAUCAGCCGCAGGGAGGUGGAGGAUUAACAAAAGAAGAGAAGAACGCCAAGAACAGUGCUUCCGAAGGCACUAACAUGGGAACUCGGGAAAGAGGAGGAGGAGGGUGGGAGGAUGUUGCUUGACGCAUCUGGUUCUCCUUCAUCCUGCAUCGGCUUCUGGGAAGAUAGCAACCCUAGGGUUCUUCCGCACACGUGAUCCCGCGAACACCCAUGCGUGAGUUCUAAGAUACAAGAAGCCCCUCCCUACUCCCCUCUUCCCUCCAUCUUUAACCUAUCUGCAGUUCCUAUCAUUAAAGGGGAAGCAUUAUAGCGAACCCUAGCGGCGAGAAUCAUGAUCUUCGGGUCCUCCCUGUCUUCCUUUCAGAAAGGAAUGGCGUACGGAACCCUACGGGGCUUGGAUGGGAACGGAGGGAUCGAGCGAACUUCGGGUCUUCUUGUGGAUCCUUAGAUGGAGAUCCGGCGGAGUGGAACCUCCCGCCAGAUUUCUCCGGGCCCGCCCUCAUCCUGAGGUUGAAGUAGCUAUCCUGCCCUAGACUGUUACGUAGAAGAAAUGGGAAGGGCGCCGUUGAGGUACAUGCAGCGGUCGGCAUCAUUCCUCAGAUCUGCUACUCCUCGGUCUCUAACCGGGCCUUUCUGUCUCCGAAUAGAGAAGCAGGCCACGGCCACCGGCGGAGCUG